RNAcentral lists this ribosomal RNA (253 nucleotides) under uncultured bacterium. Its description in RNAcentral is "partial 16S ribosomal RNA". It matches the Rfam family "Bacterial small subunit ribosomal RNA", at positions 524 to 776 of the family's 1533-position model. The record is from RNAcentral.
UACGUAGGUGGCAAGCGUUGUCCGGAUUUAUUGGGCGUAAAGGAUGCGUAGGCGGACAUUUAAGUCAGAUGUGAAAUACCCGAGCUUAACUUGGGUGCUGCAUUUGAAACUGGGUGUCUAGAGUGCAGGAGAGGUAAGUGGAAUUCCUAGUGUAGCGGUGAAAUGCGUAGAGAUUAGGAAGAACACCAGUGGCGAAGGCGACUUACUGGACUGUAACUGACGCUGAGGCAUGAAAGCGUGGGGAGCAAACAGG